UACGGAGGGUGCAAGCGUUAUCCGGAUUCACUGGGUUUAAAGGGUGCGUAGGUGGGCAGGUAAGUCAGUGGUGAAAUCUCCGGGCUUAACCCGGAAACUGCCGUUGAUACUAUCUGUCUUGAAUGCCGUGGAGAUGAGCGGAAUAUGUCAUGUAGCGGUGAAAUGCUUAGAUAUGACAUAGAACACCAAUUGCGAAGGCAGCUCGUUACACGAACAUUGACUCUGAGGCUCGAAAGCGUGGGGAUCAAACAGG
This 253-nucleotide ribosomal RNA is filed under the name uncultured bacterium. RNAcentral describes it as "partial 16S ribosomal RNA". It matches the Rfam family "Bacterial small subunit ribosomal RNA", at positions 524 to 776 of the family's 1533-position model. The record is from RNAcentral.